This 114-nucleotide ribosomal RNA is filed under the name uncultured eukaryote. RNAcentral's name for it is "partial small subunit ribosomal RNA". It matches the Rfam family "Bacterial small subunit ribosomal RNA", at positions 1412 to 1525 of the family's 1533-position model. The record is from RNAcentral.
CUAUUGCACCAGAAGUAGCUAGCUUAACCUUCGGGAGGGCGGUUACCACGGUGUGGUCGAUGACUGGGGUGAAGUCGUAACAAGGUAGCCGUAGGUGAACCUGCAGAAGGAUCA